This 518-nucleotide ribosomal RNA is filed under the name uncultured bacterium. Its description in RNAcentral is "bacterial SSU rRNA". It matches the Rfam family "Bacterial small subunit ribosomal RNA", at positions 35 to 524 of the family's 1533-position model. The record is from RNAcentral.
GAGCUGGCGGCAUGCCUAUCAUGCAAGUCGAACGCUUUGAUUUCACCGGGUGCUUGCACCCACCGAAGUCAAAGAGUGGCGGACGGGUGAGUAACACGUGGGUAACCUGCCCAUAAGAGGGGGAUAACAUUCGGAAACGGAUGCUAAUACCGCAUACUUCUAAUCGCCUCCUGGCGAAUGGAAAAAAGGUGGCUUCGGCUACCGCUUAUGGAUGGACCCGCGGCGUAUUAGCUAGUUGGUGAGGUAAUGGCUCACCAAGGCGAUGAUACGUAGCCGACCUGAGAGGGUGAUCGGCCACACUGGGACUGAGACACGGCCCAGACUCCUACGGGAGGCAGCAGUAGGGAAUCUUUCGCAAUGGACGAAAGUCUGACGGAGCAAUGCCGCGUGAGUGAAGAAGGUUUUCGGAUCGUAAAACUCUGUUGUUAGAGAAGAACAAGGAUGAGAGUAACUGCUCAUCCCCUGACGGUAUCUAACCAGAAAGCCACGGCUAACUACGUGCCAGCAGCCGCGGUAAU